This 95-nucleotide ribosomal RNA is filed under the name Bison bison bison. Lineage: Eukaryota; Metazoa; Chordata; Mammalia; Artiodactyla; Bovidae. The record is from RNAcentral.
GCCUGAAGGCGCCCGAUCUCGUCUGAUCUCGGAAGUCUAAGCAGGGUCGGGCCUGGUUAGUAUCUUGGAUGGGAGACCACCUGGGAAUCCCGGGU